AACUGCUGUCAGGGUUUAGGAACACAAUGACCAGACCCAAAGGAAGAGACGGCUACUCUGUGCCAGCAGCCGCGGUAAUACAGAGGUCUCGAGCGUUAAUCGGAAUCACUGGGCUUAAAGCGUACGCAGGCGGACCGGUAAGUACUUUGUGAAAUCCCUCGGCUCAACCGAGGAACUGCUUGGUAUACUGCCGGUCUUGAGCAUGGUAGAGGCGGUCGGAACGAUAGGUGGAGCGGUGAAAUGCGUAGAUAUCUAUCGGAACGCCGAAGGUGAAGACAGGCCGCUGGGCCAUUGCUGACGCUCAGGUACGAAAGCGUGGGGAGCGAACGGGAUUAGAUACCCCGGUAGUCCACGCCCUAAACGAUGUGCACUAGAUCAGGGAGGUUCUGAUACCCUCCGGGUCGAAGCAAAAGUGUUAAGUGCACCGCCUGGGGAGUACGGUCGCAAGGCUAAAACUCAAAGGAAUUGACGGGGGCUCACACAAGCGGUGGAGCAUGUGGCUUAAUUCGAAGCAACGCGAAGAACCUUAUCCUGGGCUUGACAUGUAUGGAUUAGCAUAUGGAAACAUAUGUGACGCGGUUUACCGUGGAACAUACACAGGUGCUGCAUGGCUGUCGUCAGCUCGUGCUGUGAAGUGUCGGGUUAAGUCCCUCAACGAGCGAAACCCCUGUCGUUAGUUGCCAGCGAGUCAUGUCGGGGACUCUAACGAGACUGCCGGUGUCAAACCGGAGGAAGGUGGGGAUGACGUCAAGUCCUCAUGGCCUUUAUGUCCAGGGCUGCACACGUGCUACAAUGGCAUGUACAAAGCGAUGCAAUACCGCGAGGUGGAGCAAAUCGCAUAAAGCAUGCCCCAGUUCAGAUUGCAGUCUGCAACUCGACUGCAUGAAGUUGGAAUCGCUAGUAAUCGCGGAUCAGCUACGCCGCGGUGAAUACGUUCCUGAGCCUUGUACACACCGCCCGUCAAGUCAUGGAAGCCGGGAGCACCCGAAGCCGCC
This 995-nucleotide ribosomal RNA is filed under the name uncultured Planctomycetota bacterium. Its description in RNAcentral is "bacterial SSU rRNA". It matches the Rfam family "Bacterial small subunit ribosomal RNA", at positions 428 to 1431 of the family's 1533-position model. The record is from RNAcentral. Lineage: Bacteria; Pseudomonadati; Planctomycetota.